UUCUCACUGCGUUAGGGAUAGUAGUGAAAAUCCCGGAGCAGCCUAAGGCUGUGAUCGGCAUUGUAGCGUAUAGCCCGGCCAGGA
RNAcentral lists this small RNA (84 nucleotides) under Aquimarina brevivitae. RNAcentral describes it as "Flavo-1 RNA". The record is from RNAcentral. Lineage: Bacteria; Pseudomonadati; Bacteroidota; Flavobacteriia; Flavobacteriales; Flavobacteriaceae.